Molecule: ribosomal RNA, 328 nt
Filed under: uncultured bacterium
Lineage: Bacteria
Description: bacterial SSU rRNA
Rfam family: Bacterial small subunit ribosomal RNA
Source: RNAcentral
GUGUCAGCCGCCGCGGUAAUACGUAGGUGGCAAGCGUUGUCCGGAAUUAUUGGGCGUAAAGCGCGCGCAGGCGGUUUCUUAAGUCUGAUGUGAAAUCCCCCGGCUUAACCGUGGAGGGUCAUUGGAAACUGGGUGACUUGAGUGCAGAAGAGGAAAGUAGAAUUCCAAGUGUAGCGGUGAAAUGCGUAGAGAUUUGGAGGAAUACCAGUGGCGAAGGCGGCGUUCUGGACUGUAACUGACGCUGAGGCGUGAAAGCAUGGGGAGCAAACAGGAUUAGAUACCCUGGUAGUCCACGCCGUAAACGAUGAGUGCUAAGUGUUAGAGGGUU